RNAcentral lists this unclassified non-coding RNA (346 nucleotides) under soil metagenome. RNAcentral describes it as "partial contains 5.8S ribosomal RNA, internal transcribed spacer 2, and large subunit ribosomal RNA". The stretch from base 1 to 120 matches the Rfam family "5.8S ribosomal RNA", at positions 35 to 154 of the family's 154-position model. The record is from RNAcentral.
GAUGAAGAACGCAGUAAAAUGCGAUAAUUAAUGUGAAUUGCAGAAUUCAGUGAAUCAUCGAGUCUUUGAACGCACAUUGCGCCCCCUGGUAUUCCGGGGGGCAUGCCUGUCCGAGCGUCAUUGCUGCCCUCAAGCACGGCUUGUGUGUUGGGCCCCGUCCUCCGAUCCCGGGGGACGGGCCCGAAAGGCAGCGGCGGCACCGCGUCCGGUCCUCGAGCGUAUGGGGCUUUGUCACCCGCUCUGUAGGCCCGGCCGGCGCUUGCCGAUCAACCCAAAUUUUUAUCCAGGUUGACCUCGGAUCAGGUAGGGAUACCCGCUGAACUUAAGCAUAUCAAUAAGCGGAGGA